This 138-nucleotide small nuclear RNA is filed under the name Teladorsagia circumcincta. Its description in RNAcentral is "U4 spliceosomal RNA". Lineage: Eukaryota; Metazoa; Nematoda; Chromadorea; Rhabditida; Trichostrongylidae. The record is from RNAcentral.
CCCCCUGGGGGCGUUUAAAAAUUGCGUAUGACACCCAUGUUUCAGGGGCCAUCGCGAGCAAUUGGAAAAGUUUUCAACCAGCAAUAAACGCACCUCGGCAGAGCCUCAUUGGUCACGUUAUCGCCUCUGCGCAAAGCU